RNAcentral lists this ribosomal RNA (511 nucleotides) under uncultured bacterium. RNAcentral's name for it is "bacterial SSU rRNA". It matches the Rfam family "Bacterial small subunit ribosomal RNA", at positions 9 to 516 of the family's 1533-position model. The record is from RNAcentral.
GAGUUUGAUCUUGGCUCAGAUUGAACGCUGGCGGCAGGCCUAACACAUGCAAGUCGGGCGGUAGAGAGAAGCUUGCUUCUCUUGAGAGCGGCGGACGGGUGAGUAAUGCCUAGGAAUCUGCCUGGUAGUGGGGGAUAACGCUCGGAAACGGACGCUAAUACCGCAUACGUCCUACGGGAGAAAGCAGGGGACCUUCGGGCCUUGCGCUAUCAGAUGAGCCUAGGUCGGAUUGGCUAGUUGGUGAGGUAAUGGCUCACCAAGGCGACGAUCCGUAACUGGUCUGAGAGGAUGAUCAGUCACACUGGAACUGAGACACGGUCCAGACUCCUACGGGAGGCAGCAGUGGGGAAUAUUGGACAAUGGGCGAAAGCCUGAUCCAGCCAUGCCGCGUGUGUGAAGAAGGUCUUCGGAUUGUAAAGCACUUUAAGUUGGGAGGAAGGGCAGUAAAUUAAUACUUUGCUGUUUUGACGUUACGACAGAAUAAGCACCGGCUAACUCUGUGCCAGCCGCG